RNAcentral lists this ribosomal RNA (429 nucleotides) under Bacteroidota bacterium. Its description in RNAcentral is "Bacteroidetes bacterium partial 16S ribosomal RNA". It matches the Rfam family "Bacterial small subunit ribosomal RNA", at positions 355 to 776 of the family's 1533-position model. The record is from RNAcentral. Lineage: Bacteria; Pseudomonadati; Bacteroidota.
UAGGGAAUCUUUGUCAAUGGGGGGAACCCUGACCGAGCAACGCCGCGGGAGUGAAGAAGGUUUUCGGAUCGUAAAGCUCUGUUGUUAAGGAAGAACGAGUGUGAGAAUGGAAAGUUCAUACUGUGACGGUACUUAACCAGAAAGGGACGGCUAACUACGUGCCAGCAGCCGCGGUAAUACGUAGGUCCCGAGCGUUGUCCGGAUUUAUUGGGCGUAAAGCGAGCGCAGGCGGUUAGAUAAGUCUGAAGUUAAAGGCAGUGGCUCAACCAUUGUAGGCUUUGGAAACUGUUUAACUUGAGUGCAGAAGGGGAGGGUGGAAUUCCAUGUGUAGCGGUGAAAUGCGUAGAUAUAUGGAGGAACACCGGUGGCGAAAGCGGCUCUCUGGUCUGUAACUGACGCUGAGGCUCGGAAGCGUGGGGAACGAACAGG